GGUCUCGUGACCUUGACCCAGUUUGGAACAUAAAACGAGUUUGAUGCUCGACAGGCUCGACUGUUUGACUUCUGAUCGUGAAUCACUGAAUCUUGUGAUACCGAGUGGAAGUUCGCUAAUCAUUUUGAACUCCGUUAUUGUUUUCAGUUUCAACUUUUCAUUUCCUAUGUGUGGUGAGAUGUCUGAUUAUAAUCACGAGUGAUUACGACGAAAGCGUGGUGAUAGAAGAACAAGAAACGCCAAUAGUUAUGAUUGCGAAGAAGACGAUAACGAAUACUAUAGCUAUUACCGCCGAAAAAGACACCACAGCUGUUCUAUGUAUACGAUUGUGAGAAUUUCGAAUGAAAAAAGUGUAAAGUUGAUGACUAUCUUAUGAGUCGUUCGUCUCGAUUAAUCCGGUGAUUCUGACCAACAACGUAUCAAAGUUACCGGAAAAUGGCUUCUGUCGCUGUCGCUGCUGUUUUAUGGAAUCACAUCAACAUAUUUACCUGAAGCUGUUCAUGGUGUAGAUCAGAAAUGUGCUCUGCGCAAGAAAGUUAUCGAAUUGGUCGAAGAAUUACACCUACAGAAACCCAUCGCCGAGCAAAUCAGUAACUAUGUUCGUAAAAUGGCGAACGAAAUGACUGCCUGGGUGACUGCUGGGUAUCGUAUCAUUAUAGAACCGUAGAACGACGUUAAACGAUGUUCUCGAUCACAUCAGGAGGAGGAUACUUCCACAGAUCACACGAGUUGUUACAAAAAUCCUUCGAUUUACUAUUGUUGUUAUAUUUUCGAAACGUUUAAACGUUCGAACGUCGUUCAAAUGUGUAUCGAUCGUUUUCUCACCUCAGAUGAAGAUAACAACGCCCUGAAGAAGCAAUUGAUCGCCGAUACAAUGGAGCCGAAACUGAUGCAAAAGACAACGACGUAUCGUAUUUGCCAGCUGUAUAAUAAUGUGGCAUUUCGGAAAUGAAGAUUCCAUAAAACAGUGUUUGAAAACUCGUUAAAUUUGCAAUUGCUUUUCAUCAUUAGGUAUCCGCAGUAUUUUAGUGGUGUUAAGCCGCCAAGCCUGAAGUAGAUACGAUUCUAAGUAGUUUAAUCAAAGCCAACGAAAUCGCCAACGCCAUCACUGAUCUUGGAUUUCCUACUAAUGUUAUUAAUGACCAAGACUGUCGAAAUUAUGAGUUGUUACUGCUCCAGCCUUUACCGGUGACCGUUCUGCAGAAUUCUGAUACGCAUUUUAAUCCGAUUCAGAUUCAGAUAUUUCACUGUCUACAUCAUACUGAUAAUAAUGUGUUAACUUGAAGCGCCAACCGGUUCCGGAAAAACAACAGUAGCAGAAAUUGCUUUCUUCAGAGUGUUCGAAGAUAUAAUCCCGAUGCUAAAGUGGUUUAUAUUGCUCCUUUUUGAAAGCUCUCGGUAAAAGAACGUAUAAGAGAUUGGAAACUAUAAGAUUUCAAAAGAAACUGAAAAAAGAAGUUGUCGAGUUGACGGGUGAUGUUACGCCGCCCGACAUACAAGCCAUCUCAUCCGUAUCCAUAAUCGUAACAACGCCUGAAAAAUUGGACAGUAUUUCACGUAGUUGGCAAACACGUACUUAUGUGAAAAAAGCUCUGUUGGUGAUAGACGAAAUUCAUAUUUUGGGAGAAGAUCGUGGACCGGUAUUGGAAGUAGAUAAUUGUUUCUCGAACAAAUUUCAUCGGUUCUCAUACCGAAAAGAAUGUUCGUAUUGUUGGAUUAUCGACUGCUUUGGCCAAUGCGCAAGAUUUAGCCAAUUGGUCAAGAAUAAACGAAGUACGGGAAUUUUUUCCAUCAUUCGAUGGGAAUGUAGUACAAUUUUAGACCAUCUGUUACCUGUUAGACUCGUGGGCUCGUGCAUAGCGCUUUCCCGGACAAAUAUUGCGCACGAAUGGCUUCCAUGAAUAAUCCAGUUUUCUAAGCUAUCAAACAGUAUUCGAUUUCUCAGUCUGUUUUGGUUUUUGUGUCUUCUCGUAGACAGACUCGUCUGAUCGUCUUACUGCGAUGGAUUUACUUGCACAAUUGGCCUUCGAAAAUAAUCCUAAGCAGUGGCUUAAAAUCAAAGAUAACGUAAUAUGGAUAUCUCGACCGAUUUGGAAUUAAUCAUUUAUGUCGACAAGAUCAUAUAGUCCGGCAUAUGACAAUAGAAGUAAGUGCACCCCCCCCCCGCUGAUCCUCCGGGACAACUUUUUUCUUAAAGGGGACAUCCUAAGGAACAUUUCAAAGCAAACUUGCCAAAAAAAAGUUGGCCUUACUUACAAAAUGGCGGCCAU
Long non-coding RNA from Planococcus citri (citrus mealybug), 2270 nucleotides. RefSeq lists it as uncharacterized. The transcript has 7 exons. The record is from RefSeq and is a predicted model, not a curated record. NCBI's taxonomy places the organism in Eukaryota, Metazoa, Arthropoda, Insecta, Hemiptera, Pseudococcidae.